RNAcentral lists this ribosomal RNA (292 nucleotides) under uncultured bacterium. RNAcentral describes it as "partial 16S ribosomal RNA". It matches the Rfam family "Bacterial small subunit ribosomal RNA", at positions 505 to 796 of the family's 1533-position model. The record is from RNAcentral.
GUGUCAGCCGCCGCGGUAAUACGGAGGAGGCAAGCGUUAUCCGGAAUUAUUGGGCGUAAAGCGUCCGCAGGUGGCUUAUCAAGUCUGCUGUCAAAGAGUGGGGCUUAACCCCAUUAAGGCAGUGGAAACUGAGAAGCUAGAGUGCCGUAGGGGUAGAGGGAAUUCCCGGUGUAGCGGUGAAAUGCGUAGAGAUCGGGAAGAACAUCGGUGGCGAAAGCGCUCUACUGGACGGCAACUGACACUCAGGGACGAAAGCUAGGGGAGCGAAUGGGAUUAGAUACCCUCGUAGUCC